CUGUUGAAUUCAUGUAUACACCAUUUGACUGAAAAAGACAAUGUAUUUGCUGAUACUGAUGUUGAUUCCGCGUGCGCUAUAUCAGCUGUCAAGAACUUUGUGCAAAAACUUUUGUUUCAUUCGCGAACAGUUAUUUUUCAACAAAAUUUCUGGCACCGCUGAACCUCACAACAGCAUGAUGAAAGUGAACGCGAUCUCAAGAAUUUUAUAGUUGUUAUUAUAUAUAUUCCUCGUGACAAGUCAUAAGAAAAUGGGCCGUAAAAAAGGAGUGUGUGGUAAAAAACGCAUCCAGCAACUUGCAGUUGACAAAAAUUCAAUCUAUACAGCUCAAAAUAUUCCGGAACUGAAGCGUUCUGCGACUCCGAAUGAUUUUGAGGAAAACCCCCAAAUACAGGGAACAGCUCAACAUUUGCACUGUUCUUCGGAAGUCAUCAUUGAAGCAACAGAGAUAGAAAUUGAUUCAUCUCUUGAUGCAAAUAAAAUUGAAUUUGAUGCUCCUCUAAUUGUCGUCGAUUUUCAUGAAGAACAUUCAGCACCGAUGAUAUCUGAGCAGUGUUUAAAUGAUGAUUGUAAUGGUUUGUCAAUGCAAGUGAACAAAUUAAAAGAAAAGAAUAAAAAAUUGAAAAACAAAAUAAAGAGUUCAAAGAUGCAAACAAUAACACACAGAAGGCCUUGGAAAAGUUAACAAAAGUGAUGAAAAAAAAAAAAGCAAAACGAAGAGCUCAAAAACGCAAAUCUUCGCUUACAAAACUCUUUAACAUCAAAUUUAAU
Long non-coding RNA from Wyeomyia smithii (pitcher-plant mosquito), 771 nucleotides. RefSeq lists it as uncharacterized. Lineage: Eukaryota; Metazoa; Arthropoda; Insecta; Diptera; Culicidae. The record is from RefSeq and is a predicted model, not a curated record. The transcript has 3 exons.